CAAACUGGGAUUAGAUACCCCACUAUGCCUAACCAUAAACAUAAAAAUUUUUCAACAAAAAUUUUGCCAGAGAACUACUAGCAACAGCUUAAAACUCAAAGGACUUGACGGUGCUUACAUCCACCUAGAGGAGCCUGUUCUGUAAUCGAUAAACCCCGAUCUACCUCACCGUUUCUUGCUAAUCCAGUCUAUAUACCGCCAUCUCUAGCAAACCCAAUUAUGGUAUAAAAGUAAGCACAAGUAUUAAUAUAAGAACGUUAGGUCAAGGUAUAACUCAUGAAACGGAAAGCAAUGGGCUACAUUUUCUUUAUAAGAAAAUUAUUUACGGAAACCCUUAUGAAAUUUUGGGUUUCAAGGAGGAUUUAGCAGUAAAUUAAGAAUAGAGAGCUUAAUUG
This 395-nucleotide ribosomal RNA is filed under the name Coendou insidiosus. Its description in RNAcentral is "partial 12S ribosomal RNA". It matches the Rfam family "Bacterial small subunit ribosomal RNA", at positions 768 to 1364 of the family's 1533-position model. The record is from RNAcentral. Lineage: Eukaryota; Metazoa; Chordata; Mammalia; Rodentia; Erethizontidae.